AUACGGAGGAUGCGAGCGUUAUCCGGAUUUAUUGGGUUUAAAGGGUGCGUAGGUGGAAGAUUAAGUCAGCGGUGAAAGUUUGUCGCUCAACGAUAAAAUUGCCGUUGAUACUGGUUUACUUGAGUAUAGUUGAAGUAGGCGGAAUGCGUGGUGUAGCGGUGAAAUGCAUAUAUAUCACGCAGAACUCCGAUUGCGAAGGCAGCUUACUAAGAUGUAACUGACACUGAAGCACGCAAGCGUUGGUAUCAAACAGUAUUAGAUACGCUGGUAAUCCACGCAGUAAACGAUGAUUACUAGCUGUUCGCGAUAUACAGUAAGUGGCACAGCCAAAGCGUUAAGUAAUCCACCUGGGGAGUACGCCAGCAACGGUGAAACUCAAAGGAAUUGACGGGG
RNAcentral lists this ribosomal RNA (393 nucleotides) under uncultured bacterium. Its description in RNAcentral is "partial 16S ribosomal RNA". It matches the Rfam family "Bacterial small subunit ribosomal RNA", at positions 523 to 918 of the family's 1533-position model. The record is from RNAcentral.